RNAcentral lists this transfer RNA (71 nucleotides) under Polioptila californica. RNAcentral describes it as "tRNA-Glu". The record is from RNAcentral. Lineage: Eukaryota; Metazoa; Chordata; Aves; Passeriformes; Certhiidae.
UUUCCACCCGGCCUUUCUCCGAGAUCUGUGGCCUGAAAAGCCACCGUUAAACUAUCUUUAACUAUAGAAAC